UUCUAUUUGAGAGUUUGAUCCUGGCUCAGGAUGAACGCUGGCGGCGUGCCUAACACAUGCAAGUUGAGCGAUUUACUUCGGUAAAGAGCGGCGGACGGGUGAGUAACGCGUGGGUAACCUACCCUGUACA
This 130-nucleotide ribosomal RNA is filed under the name Clostridioides difficile. RNAcentral's name for it is "partial 16S ribosomal RNA". It matches the Rfam family "Bacterial small subunit ribosomal RNA", at positions 1 to 137 of the family's 1533-position model. Lineage: Bacteria; Bacillati; Bacillota; Clostridia; Peptostreptococcales; Peptostreptococcaceae. The record is from RNAcentral.